GUUUUUCCUGGAGUUCUUUCUCACCAGACUGGUUCCGGCUGCCUCCUGGAUGAUGAUGGAAAACCAAGGUGCUUGCCAACGAGUCAUUCUCUCAUUUUGUAAUCCUCAGGCACUUGUACAAAGGUUAUGUGGAACGUUACCAACAAGUUAAAGGCACAGCCUGGACGGCCUUAAAGGAAUUAGAUCUGCUGUGGCAAAAUCCAAGCAUUGUAUAUCAAGGAGAUCCAGGCCUAAUGAGCUCAGAAGGAGGCAAUAAGGAUCCUUUCACUUUAUACCUUUUCACUUUCAACUCUGGAGUCUGCAAACCCAGAAAUAUAGGAAAGAGACUACUGGAGGAGCCUCAGGAGGGACGCCUGAGAACUCCAUGGGCCUGGGCAGACUGGCUUUGGAGAACUGAAAAACAGUACACAUUCAUGCGGAAGGGAGAAUGGUCCACACCCCAUCACCCACCCCCCAGAGACAAAUCCAAGCUUUAUGGAUUUUAGGGAAACUACAGUGACUCUUUUGAGGUACUAGUUCCUCAUGUGAAUGAACUCUUUGAUGAGAAUAAAGUAAAAAGU
This 560-nucleotide long non-coding RNA is filed under the name Fukomys damarensis (Damara mole-rat). Its description in RNAcentral is "lncRNA (ENSFDAG00000025946.1)". The record is from RNAcentral. Lineage: Eukaryota; Metazoa; Chordata; Mammalia; Rodentia; Bathyergidae.